Molecule: ribosomal RNA, 393 nt
Filed under: uncultured bacterium
Lineage: Bacteria
Description: partial 16S ribosomal RNA
Rfam family: Bacterial small subunit ribosomal RNA
Source: RNAcentral
AUACGGAGGAUCCGAGCGUUAUCCGGAUUUAUUGGGUUUAAAGGGUGCGCAGGCGGGAUGUUAAGUCGGCGGUGAAAUUUUGCAGCUCAACUGUAAAAGUGCCUUCGAUACUGGCUUUCUUGAGUGUGGAUGAAGUAGGCGGAAUUUGUGGUGUAGCGGUGAAAUGCAUAGAUAUCACGAGGAACACCGAUUGCGCAGGCAGCUUACUAAACUACUACUGACGCUCAGGCACGAAGGCAUGGGGAUCUAACAGGAUUAGAUACCCUGGUAGGCCACGCAGUAAACGAUGAGUACUAGCUGUUUGCGAUACAAUGUAAGCGGCUGAGCGAAAGCAAUACGUAAUCCACCUGGGGCGUGCGUUCGCAAGAAUGAAACUCAAAGGAAUUGACGGGG